This is a long non-coding RNA of Clupea harengus (Atlantic herring), 6738 nucleotides long. Lineage: Eukaryota; Metazoa; Chordata; Actinopteri; Clupeiformes; Clupeidae. The record is from Ensembl.
CGAGGAAGACAGUCCACGUGUGAGAGUAGCAUUCCUCCAGCUUGAGCAGGGGUGUUGGAGCAGCGUGCAGCUCAGCUCUCCCAGCUCCGGGUGGGAGAGGGUAGAGCUAUUUCACUUGGCACCCCGGCACAGGAUGGGCCCCUUUCUUGGCUGCAGCCCCAGCGGAUUGGUCUCUGUGCUCAUUCGCCCGGGCCUUUUCGAAGUUCUAUAUCCAAAGCUAUGCAUCGUCAUACAUAUCUUUUUUUUUUUUUUUCACACUAGCAAAAAAAAAGAAAAAGUACUGGCAAGUAUUUUUUUCAGGGACACUAUGUCCUUUGUCAUCAUCUUUGUAUGAUGUUUGCAUGCUAUGGUAGGAUUUUCAUAAAUGUAAAAACAUCUUAGCCAUCUAUCUAGUAAAAAUGGUCUAAGCGGGAAUACAUUUGGCAACUCACAAUUUAUUUUGAUACAAACAAUGAUCUGUUCCCUUGGGUUUACUCAGAAUGUUUAUUUUAGAUUUGUUUUCUUUCAUUUCUUACUUUGCCAACAAAAAAGCUUUGUUUUCCCUGGGUGGACAGUGUAAUGUCCUAGUGUAAUCUAGAGGAACUCUGAAAUCUGUUAUGGAGUCUGCAGUCAGAAGUGUUGAGUCUGAAGAAAGACAGAAGCAAUCAGAGGGCGGGCUUCAUCAAUGGAUUAUAAAAUAUGUUGCCAGUUCUGGCAUGAGUCUACUACAGCAAACAAUUGGUUUGUGUGUGUGUGUGUGUCUGUCUGUGUCUGUAUGUGUGUCUGUCUGUCUGUGUGUGUGUGUCUGUGUUUGUCUGUCUGUCUGUCUGUGUGUGUGUGUGUGUAUGUGUGUGCGUGAGAAUCAGUGGUGUUCCAUAGGUGGAAUGAUUGGCAUGGUUCUCUUAGUUCUUCCAGGGAGUCUGGAUGAAAUCUCUAUUCUGAAGGGUGUGCACAAAUCUCUUUCUCUUUUUUUCUCUCUCUCUCUUUUUCUCUGUCUCUUUUUCUCUCUCAACACACUCAUGGUCAUGGGCUGCUGAAUCUCAGCUCUUUCACACCAAGAACAUACAAGGACAAAGAAUGUUAAUGACCUGGACCAGAUUCAGCGUUCACCGUCUCUCUCCCUCGUUCUCUCCCUCCCCCUCUCUCUCUCUCUUUCUCUGUCUCCUCCUCUCUCUCCUUGCCCUCCCCACUUUCUUCCUAUCUCUCAGACUCUCUCGCCCAUACAUAGGCAAGUCUAACAUGGCCAGGCAAAUCCCUCUCUCUCUCUCUCUCUCUCUCUCUCUCUCUUUCUCUCUCUCUCCUUCUUUCUCCUUCUUCAGAUUCUGACGGACACAGCUCAGAUAGCCGGCACUGCGCUUUUGAUUGACUUUCAAUUGAACCGUUGACCACGAUAAGGUCAGAACUCAUGCAGAGCUUUUGGUUGCUCAGAUCUUUUCACUGACUAAACAAAAGCCACAUAGAUAAUGCUGUUGACUCUACUCCUGAGACAGGUUGUUCUUUUACCUCUGCCAAACACACACACACACACACACACACACACACACACACACACACACACACACACACACACACAUGCACAUUUAGUUGCAAUAGCAUGACUGGAUUCAUUUUGUGGCCAUUGAAUGUACUGAUCACAAGUAAAACUACACACAAAUAAAACUUCCAUAUUGUCAUUUAAUGAAAAGGAGUUAUUUGAUUAGUGUUACAUUAAAGCUAUUUUCCUUUAUGAGAGUUUAACCUCAUAAAAUACCUUGAUAAAAUGCUGCCUCAGCACAAAACCUGAUCGUUGUCAGCCUAGCAGAACAAUGAUAUUGUGCCUACUGAAAUACUGUCAUCCAUAAUUGCAUUGGAGGGAUCACUUCGGUACUGCACCAUAUCAUAGUCAGAAUAAUGCACUUUAAGGUCCAACAGAAGAAGAUUAAGCUGCAAUCAAUGUCAUGCACAAUGUGCUGCAGUGAAAUCUGAUAACUUACAGCCCCCUUGCACAUAUAGAUGAUUAUUGAUAAAAUCAAUAAUCAAUAAGGUAAUUGAAUUCAGUGUUCUUUUUUUGACAUCUAAAUGGUGAGGAAGAGCUGAAAAGUCAGAUUGCAGGAAAUUGGAACCAGUCAUUUUUUUUAUCCGUUUGUAAUAUAAAUAAAUAACGGGUCGUUUUACAGAUCCCUGUGGUUAUAUGGCCAAUAGCCAAAUCUGCCACAAAGCACACACAGUUAUGGGGACACAGCUUACUGUAUGUAGACAUAAGAUAUGACUGCACAUACAUUCAACCCUGCAGGGGCACUGAAGUGACCAACUGCACAUCUGGUCAUGUGAACCAAAUGCAAGGUCACUGAAGCGUUUCCUUUUUUGCCAGACAAGGAGAAAAAAAAUACUGUCCAAUGCGGCUUGUGCAAUCUCCAGUUGCGUACUCACUGUGAAACAUAUAGCUGCUAUGGCAGCCGUGACCUCACCCUGUCACCGCUAUAAGGUAUAUGGUGUGAAAGGUUGCUGACAGUGCCGCGUGCUGUUGUUUUGGGUGAAACCCGAGGCUGUCCGAAAAUAUUCUAGAUAAAUAUCUUAAAUCUGCCGAAGUGCGUAUAACUCACUGAGGUGUCAAGGGAGGGGGUGAAAUAUCUGUAGAGCUGUGGAACCUAGAAGGGUUCAAGAGUCGAUCUCCUGGAUAUAUAGUAUGAGGGGAAGGUUCUCUCCAAACACUGGAGCUGACGAAUUUACCGGAGGCUCUUGUUGAAGGAAACAGUUGAGAGCACUUAGGGGUUUGAGAGGUAAGAGAAAAAAAUGCAGGUAUAGCCGUGCAACAAUGGUGUCUUGUGUCAAUGUGGGCAGAACCCAAAUGUAUUCAGGUGACCUACAUAGUUUAAUGUGAUCCAUGGCCUCGCAUUCUCAUCUGUCUGUAACUGAAAGCGUGGUUUCACUGAUCCACCCUCCUUCAAGCAUGCACACCACAUAUGUUACCUAGAUAAGAGAUGUCUAGCUGAGGUACGUUGUGGUCAUUUUUUCCCAUUGGCUCACUCACGCUGUCUUCUGUUCCUGACUGUGCGACUGUUUGCUUGCUUUGCUGCCAGUUACUCUGUAAUUGUGUUGGCAAACGUUCACUGAAAUGGUGAGACUUCAUCACGUCAACUUCAAAGCAAAGUGAAGUAGUUGCAUCAUUUAUGCUGUUUUCAUUUGAAAAUAGUAAAAGUAGGAUUCGAGGGAUGUGCGGUCUUCUGUAUCUUUUCAUUCAGUUGGGGGAUGUUAAAUUACAAAGUGAAUGCUUGAACAACGAAAGGCAAUGAAGUUCACAAGUUUGUGCAAUGAACAUUGCAGAUAAGACUCCAGACAUGAUUGGUACCAGAUAGCAAACCUGAUUCGUUGAGUGUACAAUAAAGCCGAGAGAGACAUUUCUCAUCGGCUGUCUCGCUUUGUGGGAGCAUGUCAUCAAGCCCCCAUGUUUAUCAGAGGUGCCCUUUCCUGUUUCACCUGACGGUCCUGAUAGAACUGCAGUCUGCUCUCAUAUCGGCCAUGUCCCUGAAUGUCAUCAGAUUUGUUCUCUAUAAAAUGUAACCUUUUCAGGCAUACAGACAGAAGGAAGGGGAAGGCACAAGUGGCAGAGAUUCUUAAAUGGCAUGAAGGUACUUGGGAAUAAUUGGAUGUUUGUAUGAGAUAUGGGGUGUGUUCAUUGGAGGAAAGUGGGUUCUGACUUUGGCUGCUCCUCAGUAUUUGAACCAUGGGUCAUGUUAAAAUGAGGGUGACUAUUUUUGAUGGGGCUGUCAAAUAGGGGUGGGCGAUAUGACCAAAAUCUUCUAUCACGCUAUUUGUAAUUUUAUAUCACGGUUACGGUAUAUAUCACGGUUUAUUAUACGUAGGGUGACCAGAUUUUGGUUUUUGAAAAAGAGGACACUUCAGCGGUGGCGAAAUGUGUCCACAGACAUUUAUUUAUUGACCCUUAAGAACACUAAGGUGCAGAAACAAUACUGCCUCAAUAGGCUAUUGGCCUAAGCAAUAGUGGCCAGUAUCCAUUGAAUCUUUAAAUAGUAAAAUUAAAGCAAAGUGUAUGAAAAAAAAAAGAAAAAGGAAAAAUCUUUCUGUGGCAUUUAGUCCAGUGCUUAUGUUUCAGUGGUUCUUUAAUGUACUUUCAGAAGAUAACUCAAGUGUUAAAACUUUCUUUUCAAUCUUUGUCCAUAUGUUAACGCAAUAAUGAUGAGAUAUUUUCUUUAUAUGGCCACAUAUUAAAAUAAGAAAAUUAAGAAGUUGGCCAUUAUACAUAGACAUAUAUACAUAGACGCUCCAUUGACCGCCUCAGCCCGUUGCUGCGACGUCCUAACGUGAUGACGAGGUGAUGACCUGUAAACAGACGCAAGUAAAUGAUGCGGUUUUUCUGGAUAAAAAGGACUAUAGCGUUUAUAUUUCUCAAAUAGAUUUCACUGAGUCAUUUUUAUAUUCAAGGGUUUAUGAUCUACAUGGAGUACCAAAACAAGUUUUGUCCCCAUGUUACUUACUUAGAAUCUCGUUGGUUUGGCCGUAAUCGCCGUUGACAUACAUACAUGUAUAUGUCUAUGAUAAUCGCUGCUAGACGCUCACUGUUCUUGUGCUCUCACAGCUCAUUCACUUUGAAAUACUGAAAAGAAAUCUAAACUAUCGAAAAAGUGCAUCUUUAACUACUAAUAUUUGACCAUCAUUGAGAAAAAUGGAACAGAAUCUGCAAAUAAAUGCCUACACUAGACACUUUUCAGUCCAUAUUUUUCAGUAUAUUGAAUCUUUCCCAACAGUCGAGGAUUACUCAACAAGUAGGCAUGACAGUCCUUGCAGGUUAUGUGCUUAAAAAUUGUACUGGGUAUCGUAUUAUACGGCUCUUCAGAACGUUCAAAAAAGUUCUGUUGAUUUGAAUGGGCCACCCCAACGUUCACAGGUCUGUAAUUUCUUUGGUUUCACUGCUGCGAAAAUGUAAUGACCGCUGACCAUCUUUCAUAUCAUUCAGCAAGUAGUCCGGUCAUUUAACGUAACGGGAAGUAAUGGGUUGCUACGCAACACCUGAAACUUUAGAGUUCUAUUUGCCUGAAGAACUCAGCAGAAAUCACAAAAUGGCAACAAAAUCGUUAAAGAGGUAUUUUUGGAGGAAUGUCUAUCGUUUUGGCGAGUUACUGUAUAAUAAGAGGGAUGAUGUAUAGUUCGGAGGUCAUUAUCUAAAAAUAAAUCGAUUGGAUUUCAAAAUAAGAGUAUACCGCGGUUGAAACGGUAUGGCCAAAUCUCUCCUGGUAGACACAUUUCUACCGUUGCACGGUAUAUACCGUCAUACCACCCAGCCCUACUGUCAAAUACUGACUAGAUUAGUGGCCUGGAUAUUGUUUAGAAGGGCUUUGUUUAGCUUAGUGUAUAAGUGUCUGUGAAAACAUUAAAACGAAUAAAUCUGCCAUUUAAAGUCUUACUCCAGCCUCAGAUGGAGAAUGCACUGCCUGCAUGCGUUAGCCGCAGACUUCCUUCAGCCUGAAAGCUAAACACCCGCCACACUGCACCCGCUACACCAAGCUCGUAAAAAGCCUCACGAGACUGAAGACAUACACAUGAGCCAUGUGACCCUAACCGCAAGCACGGGGUCAAGGUAUGAUUGUAUGCUUAGUAUGGUGUCGACUAGCCAAUAAAACGGCAAAAGCCAAACAAGUGCUUGUAACCGGGUGGUCGGCCCACGUAUUCCAACAGAUGUCUAUUUUUACAGCUUGCAAAUGGAUGUAAAUAUAGAUCUAUGUCCUCCAUGCUGAUAUAUUUUUGUCAUGCGUAUCAUGACUUGCAAGAAAAAAAUUACGAAAGAAUUUUGAAAAUCUUCACUCGAAGUGCGAGGGUGAGGUGUUAUUCUCGGGUGAAGUAUAUUUUGGGUGGGAGCCCGUGUCAUGUGCGAUAUAGCUCUGCUUUGUGGUUGCAGCAGCCAGGUUCCUGCGCAAAUUUACACAGUGUCUUGUUUGAGCUGCCGUGCAUAUAUUGAUAGGUAGUCGUUUGGUUAGCCUUAGGUCUCGGCAAGACACCUCAGUUAACUCUAGGAUUAGGCAUAAGCCUUUUAGGGUUAAGCCAGUCACAUGAGAUACUCUGACAGAACGACUCUGGAACAAUCUUCACUGACCACCAUCCCAUCAAGUUUUUAUAGUUUGUUUGGAGAUACUUUCGCUUUGGCCUUGACCCCAUCCAGCCCACUGGUGGAAAUCUUGCUGCUUAAGAAGACACUGGUGUGGCACUUGGUGUUUGUUAGGUGAAAAAUUCACUCGAUUCAUGUGACCAAUGAGAAGUCCUUGUGUGAGUGCUCCUUCAUUUCAUGGAUUUUAACCGUAAUGGGAUUCCGGGUGCUUCUGCGAUCAACUCCCCAGAUUGUCCCAUGGUGGUUAGUUCUCUGUUGAGUGCCCCCUGUGAUAUUAAAAGCAGGUUGUUUGGGACAGAACCUGAUCGAUUGGAGACACAAAACACUUGACACUGCAGCUGAAGAGGAGGGCGGUGGCCAGCAGUCACAGCGAGCCGGAGCCUGGGGAAAUCAUUAACCAGACGAACCACAGCGGGACUCUGUGGACCUUUAAAAUGGACUCUGUCCCUUGCUCUUAGCUACAGCAUAGGGGUGAAGGACGCCACGUCAGCAAGCCAUACAGUAUUUACUUAAUAGAAAGUAAGUGAAAUAGAGUGGAAGUGAGUUUAGGGAUGUGCACCUCUCUCUUUCUCUCUCUCUUUCUCUCUUUCCGUCUCGCUCUCUCUCUAUCUGUUUUUUGGUGUAUAUGGGUAUGCACAUGCGUGCAAGUCUACACUAGC